CGGCUCUGGGUCUGUGGGGAG
Molecule: microRNA, 21 nt
Filed under: Dasypus novemcinctus (nine-banded armadillo)
Lineage: Eukaryota; Metazoa; Chordata; Mammalia; Cingulata; Dasypodidae
Also listed under: 10 other names
Description: dno-miR-760-3p
Gene: dno-miR-760-3p
Source: miRBase by way of RNAcentral